RNAcentral lists this ribosomal RNA (468 nucleotides) under uncultured bacterium. Its description in RNAcentral is "partial 16S ribosomal RNA". It matches the Rfam family "Bacterial small subunit ribosomal RNA", at positions 28 to 507 of the family's 1533-position model. The record is from RNAcentral.
GACGAACGCUGGCGGCGUGCUUAACACAUGCAAGUCGAACGGAAAGGCCCUGCUUUUGUGGGGUGCUCGAGUGGCGAACGGGUGAGUAACACGUGAGUAACCUGCCCUUGACUUUGGGAUAACUUCAGGAAACUGGGGCUAAUACCGGAUAGGAGCUCCUGCUGCAUGGUGGGGGUUGGAAAGUUUCGGCGGUUGGGGAUGGACUCGCGGCUUAUCAGCUUGUUGGUGGGGUAGUGGCUUACCAAGGCUUUGACGGGUAGCCGGCCUGAGAGGGUGACCGGCCACAUUGGGACUGAGAGACGGACCAGACGCCUACGGGAGGCAGCAGUGGGGAACAUUGCACAAUGGGCGGAAGCGUGAUGCAGCAACGCUGCGUGCGGGAUGACGGCCUUCGGGCUGUAAACCGCUUUCGCCUGUGACGAAGCGUGAGUGACGGUAAUGGGUAAAGAAGCACCGGCUAAUUACGUG